GAUGAACGCUAGCGGGAGGCUUAACACAUGCAAGUCGAGGGGCAUCACGAGGUAGCAAUACUUUGGUGGCGACCGGCGCACGGGUGAGUAACACGUAUGCAACCUUCCCUGUACAGGGGGAUAACCCGGAGAAAUUCGGACUAAUACCCCAUGAUGAUAUUAUGGGGCAUCCUUUAAUAUUUAAAGCUCUGGCGGUACAGGAUGGGCAUGCGCGACAUUAGCUAGUUGGUAAGGUAACGGCUUACCAAGGCGACGAUGUUUAGGGGACCUGAGAGGGUUGUCCCCCACACUGGUACUGAGACACGGACCAGACUCCUACGGGAGGCAGCAGCAAGGAAUAUUGCACAAUGGGCGAAAGCCUGAUGCAGCAACGCCGCGUGGGCGAUGAAGGCCUUCGGGUUGUAAAGCCCUUUUCUGCGGGAAGAGCAAGGACGGUACCGCAGGAAUAAGUCUCGGCUAACUACGUG
Molecule: ribosomal RNA, 467 nt
Filed under: uncultured bacterium
Lineage: Bacteria
Description: bacterial SSU rRNA
Rfam family: Bacterial small subunit ribosomal RNA
Source: RNAcentral